GACGAACGCUGGCGGCGUGCUUAACACAUGCAAGUCGAACGGAAAGGCCCUGCUUUUGUGGGGUGCUCGAGUGGCGAACGGGUGAGUAACACGUGAGUAACCUGCCCUUGACUUUGGGAUAACUUCAGGAAACUGGGGCUAAUACCGGAUAGGAGCUCCUGCUGCAUGGUGGGGGUUGGAAAGUUUCGGCGGUUGGGGAUGGACUCGCGGCUUAUCAGCUUGUUGGUGGGGUAGUGGCUUACCAAGGCUUUGACGGGUAGCCGGCCUGAGAGGGUGACCGGCCACAUUGGGACUGAGAUCCGCCCCAGACCCCUACGGGAGGCAGCAGUGGGGAAUAUUGCACAAUGGGCGGACGCCUGAUGCAGCAACGCCGCGUGCGGGAUGACGGCCUUCGGGUUGUAAACCGCUUUCGCCUGUGACGAAGCGUGAGUGACGGUAAUGGGUAAAGAAGCACCGGCUAACUACG
This 466-nucleotide ribosomal RNA is filed under the name uncultured bacterium. RNAcentral's name for it is "partial 16S ribosomal RNA". It matches the Rfam family "Bacterial small subunit ribosomal RNA", at positions 28 to 505 of the family's 1533-position model. The record is from RNAcentral.